Molecule: long non-coding RNA, 3159 nt
Organism: Passer domesticus (house sparrow)
Lineage: Eukaryota; Metazoa; Chordata; Aves; Passeriformes; Passeridae
Exons: 3
Source: RefSeq, a predicted model, not a curated record
AGAAGGAGGAGCUUAGAGAGAAUAUCCUGCCCAUUUUCCCCACUUUUGCUGAUACAGCAGUGGUGAGAGCAAGUCAAAGGUCUGAGUUCAGUGUCCUCUCGGCAAAUGGACAACUUUUCAAUUCUAGUAACCUGCAGGUUAGCCUGAAAUAGAUGAGAAGCUCACCCUCUUCUCUGAGUUGCUGAAGCUCUUCCUUAUGGCUGACUAAUGUGUGUGCAUAUAUGGAGCUUUCUGAGCAAGCACUUAUAUCCAUUUGGAAGAAAAAGAAUUGCGGCAUACUGAAUACUUUGGGGAUCCAAAUCAGGUUGCUAUCUUGUGUGUAUUUAGGAAUCAAAGAAGUCAGAAAUGGAAGAAAACUAUCAGAGUUUGUCAUCUGGCCACAACCUUUGUAAAUGCAACAAAUUCUUCUCCAAGAGAGGCUGCAAAUAGAGGGCAACAACUACUGAAACAUUAUCAUUACAUUCCCAGGAACUAAUUGCAGAGUUGAAUAACUUUGCACUGACUUCAGUGGUGCCCUGCAACCUUCAGUCUUCAUCACUUUGUUUACAUGCCACGAUCUUCUGACAUAGCCAUGGGACAUCCUGCCUGCAGGUGACAGCGCCCUAUGCUUCAGCCACGUUCCUACCCUCCACCUGUGGCUCUUUCCCAUGUGGGAAAUAUCUCACAACAUCAUGAGCCCAAUGGAGAAGCAGAAUGUUGUGAUGGAUCUGAAAGCUUUCUGUCAGGUUUCUGAUAAAAAAAAAAAAAGACAGACAGAUCUUCCCAAAGCUCCUAAAUGCUAGCAGAGGAAAUGCAGAGGAUUUGCCAACAGAUUUGUACUCAGUUGCUGAGCCUGGUUGUUGUCACUGGACUUGCUCUUUGGCUCAGAUAGUGUGGAACAACCCCUUUUGGUGAGGCUUCAGUGUAGAAACCAGUGUGAGUUAUAAAACAAGUAACUGCUCUGCUGAACAUGCAAUCCAGGCAGGAUUUGGCAGAUGCCUUCAGGUAUAUAUAAUGGUUUUUGUGACUGGGGAAAAAAGAUCAAGUUGUGAAUUAAAGUAGCUGAAGUAACUGCUUUUAUUCAUGAAAGCACUCAAAAAUAAUUCAAAUUUUGUUUUUUGUUUGCUUAGGUAGAAAAUUCUGAGGUAGGUUGUUUAGAGGUAAUCAAGGUAAGAUAGUGGUUAGUAAAGAAGGCCAGAAACACUGUGUUCCUAUAUAGAUUAAUAUAAAGUUGAUUUUGUCUCCAACUACUCUUGGUAGCACUGAUAAAUUAAAAUCAGUAGCAGAAAAUUUGGAAAUUCAGCUGUAAGGCACCUAUUCAAGGAUUUUUUCUUCUGCAUCUGUCCCUCUAUCAUCAGCAGGGAAGUAAUCCCUGGGUGUAGUCCCACUGCCAGGGGUAGCAACUUGCAGACAAAGUAUCAGCUGUUUACAGAACAGCUGGAGCAUGAAGUGGCUGGAAGCAGUAGCUAUCCACGAGGGAAAUGCACAUCCCUGUAACAGACUGGAGAGGAAGCAAUGUGCAUGAUCCCCUGGUGUGGGGGAGCAGGGCGAUUCUGAGGUUAAACACCAGAAUUUGACACAAUCUUACCUGACAUGACAGUGAUUCCUGUGAGGCACAUGUGAACAGUCAAGAGGGGAUUUCUGAAUGCACGGAGGAAAUGCCUCAGGGUCUGUUGGAAGAUAUUAUACUUCAGGUCAUGGGGUCGGCCACGAGGUGAGACCUGAGACUCUGUCAAGAUGGAUGUAAUUUAUCAUUGAAUUGGCACUGACAUUUGUGUGUAUGUGACAUUUGUGCCUUGUGAAGGACUUCUACAUAUCUGUCCCAUGGCUAAAGUAUCUCUUUCCCAUUAUGCCCAUAUCUGUGGGUCAGAAGUUUAGGUGUGGUUGUUAGGAGUGCCAAGGAUAACAUAAAUCACUGGGUGGUUUUUUUUUUGAGUUUUUUUUUUUGGUUGUUUUGGGGUUUUUUUGUUGUUUUUUUUGUGUUUUGUUGGGGUUUUUUUUCUGAUGUGUUUCCCCCUUCAAUGCUCUCACAUGUGCAGCCCUCAUGGGUCCUGAGGGUAAUUCUUGGAUCUUUGAUCCGUAAACAUUUUAAAUGCUGUGAGAAGAGCCUGGGCACAGAGGCAUUCUUGGUGUCUGCAGGAAGACUUCCUGGUGGGAUUUUGAUGGGAUUAAAUCCUAUUUUAUAUCUGCACAGGAAUAUGAAGCAUUGUGAUUAUAUAGAGUAAAUAACCAGGAAUAGCCUCCUUUCGCUCCUUUAAAUUUGUUUUAUUUUAUUUUUAAUAGCUCUGACAGUCUUCCUUAGGUUCUCCUCUUCCACUCAAAAUAUUGUCAGACCACUUGGACGUAAGAAGUACUUCGUUUACCUUGGACUAGAAUGAUCCAGCAUUUUUAAGACUUUGGAAGCUUACACCUUUCUUAUGGCAAGAAAACGAACAAAAAUUACGGUUUUUCUUCAGAUGAGUGAGACUUGGCUCCAAAAGCUAAAAAUGUCAGUAAAAUAACCUUCAAAACUAAACCUUGCAAAACUUCAGGAAGUUAGGUAUGCUUCAGGCAUAUAAUUUUGCUACAGAGCUUAUGUUUUGGCGUUACCCAAGCAAGCUUGAUGAGCUGACUGCUGAGCAAAUUGUUUUGUAUAGGUUUUUUGCUUUGACAUCACACUAUUCAGCUAAGGGUGCUAACCUGCUCACACUUCAGUCCUGCAAAUAGGAGACUGAAUCGAUCCAUAGACCUUAUUGAAGCAUUUUGAUUGAUAUGGGCCCUGGAAAGUAAGGAUGAGUUUGUCCUUAUGAAUGUCUUUGAUAUGAAAAUCAGCCUGGUAGGCAAUGAGUGAGGGGUCAGCAAAUUCAAGCAGUUUUGGUUUGGCAUCAACUGAACUAGCUAGAAGUGACAAUCAAGUGAUCUUAUCAAGGUUUUUACUUUGGUUUGGAUACUCCUGGAAUUGAGCAUCUCUCUUCUGUCACCUAUCUAACUUCUAGAUAUAUAUAUAUAUUUUUUUUUUUUUUUUCAUUUCUGAUUCAAGUUAGAGCUGUGGGAAGCAUAACUUAGCUGUGGGAAAGAAAACCAAAUCUUACAACUUACUCCUUAGUGAACUAAAGGCAAAUUGAAGGAUUAAGAGAGUAAUAAUCUAAUAGUAUCCUAAUUAAUUUUAGGUUUUGGAAAGCUUCUGCUUUGCAACUUUGG